GACAGAGGUUGCAAGCGUUGCUCGGAAUCACUGGGCGUAAAGGGCGUGUAGGCGGGUAGGUAAGUCAGAUGUGAAAUCCCUGGGCUCAACCCAGGAACUGCAUUUGAAACUCCCUUUCUUGAGUGUCGGAGAGGAAAGUGGAAUUCCUGGUGUAGAGGUGAAAUUCGUAGAUAUCGAGAGGAACACCGGUGGCGAAGGCGGCCUUCUGGACAGUGACUGACGCUGAGACGCGAAAGCGUGGGGAGCAAACGGG
RNAcentral lists this ribosomal RNA (253 nucleotides) under uncultured bacterium. RNAcentral describes it as "partial 16S ribosomal RNA". It matches the Rfam family "Bacterial small subunit ribosomal RNA", at positions 524 to 776 of the family's 1533-position model. The record is from RNAcentral.